UCUAUUAUCCUCCCCUUUUACAGGACGGGACACUUAGGCACAGAGAGGUUAAGUUACUUGCCUCGGGGCUACACAGCAAAGAAGUGGGGACUCCAACUCCUUCUCCUUCUCCAUGGCGCCUCCCCACAAGGAGUGCAGGACAGGAAGAAGGGGUGCUGCUGCUGCUUCCCCCCCCACCACCACUCCCACUCCUGCACCCUCACCCCAGGCCCUGGGAGUCCCAGCCUCCAGAACAGUGCCCUGAAAUUCAGCACAAGGUAGGAGGAGCCUUCAUCUCCCAGGAAACGGCCUUGCUCUGAGCCAGCUCAAAGUUCACGUUCAGGAGCAGCAAACCGAGGCCAGGAGAGGGGCUGGGAGACAAGUGAUUCCUAUGGAUUCAUUGAAGCAGGCCUGGAAAACUCUUGGAAGAGCUUGCACGUGGGCAAGAGGAGGACCUGGCUUCUCCGAUGAAAUCCAAAGGGCAAUAGAAAUCGGAGGUUGCCAAAGGCUUGGUGGAGGCCAGGUGGAGUUAGGCUCUGGGACUAUGGAGGAAACCAGAGUGUGGAAAUAAAUCAGUGUCCAGGGCUUCCCUGGUGGCGCAGUGGUCAAGAAUCCGCCUGCCAAUGCAGGGGACAUGGGUUCGAGCCCUGUUCCGGGAAGAUCCCACAUGCCAUGGAGCAACUGGGCCCAUGCGCCACAACUACUGAGCCUGCACUCUAGAGCCCGCGAGCCACAACUACUGAGCCCAAAUGCCACAAUUACUGAAGCCCACGCGCCUAGAGCCCAUGCUCCACAACAAGAGAAGCCACUGCAAAGAGAAGAAGCCCACGCACCGCAACGAAGAGUAGCUCCCGCUCGCCGCAACUAGAGAAAGCCCGCACACAGCAACAGAGACCCAACACAGCCAAAAAUAAAUUAAAAAUAAAAUUAAUUAAUUAAAAACAAAA
Molecule: long non-coding RNA, 926 nt
Organism: Balaenoptera ricei (Rice's whale)
Lineage: Eukaryota; Metazoa; Chordata; Mammalia; Artiodactyla; Balaenopteridae
Exons: 2
Source: RefSeq, a predicted model, not a curated record